GGGCUCACACAAGCGGUGGAGCAUGUUGCUUAAUUCGAGGCAACGCGAAGAACCUUACCUGGGCUUGACAUGUACGGAUUAACCCCGUGAAAGCGGGGCCACAGUCGCAAGACCGGAACGUGCACAGGUGCUGCAUGGCUGUCGUCAGCUCGUGCUGUGAAGUGUCGGGUUAAGUCCCUUAACGAGCGCAACCCCUGUCGUUAGUUGCUCACGGGUAAUGCCGAGUACUCUAGCGAGACUGCCGGUGUCAAACCGGAGGAAGGUGGGGAUGACGUCAAGUCCUCAUGGCCCUUACGUCCAGGGUUGCAAACGUGCUACAAUGGCGCGUACAAAGCGAUGCGAGAUCGCGAGAUGGAGCAAAUCGCAAAAAGCGCGCCCCAGUUCGGAUUGCAGGCUGCAACUCGCCUGCAUGAAGUCGGAAUCGCUAGUAAUCGGAGAUCAGCUACGCUCCGGUGAAUGUGUUCCUGAGCCUU
Molecule: ribosomal RNA, 473 nt
Filed under: uncultured bacterium
Lineage: Bacteria
Description: bacterial SSU rRNA
Rfam family: Bacterial small subunit ribosomal RNA
Source: RNAcentral